AGGGUGGAACAUUUCUAGAGACUGAGCUGAAAGGAUAGUGUUAUCUAAGUGAUCUACAAUCGAGUUAUUAUAAUCGUAAAGCUGAAGUAAAAAGUAAAAAAAAAAAUCCUAAAAUGAAAUAUUUUUAUAUCAGUGACAACCCUACAAAGUUAUUUACAUUUUAAAUUGACACAUGUCAUGUCAUACAAUAGGAUCUACUUGCUAGGGUUGAAACAUAAAGAUUUUUGCUCUCAUGUUUAACAAACUGUAACUCUAAAACGGUUAGAAAUAUUAACGUGAUUAAUAAGUGAAAAAUAAAGUACGUAGCCUAAACAAUUCCCCGUUUGCGUAAAAGUCCUUCGUUCUGUUCCACCCGAUAUAUAUUUUUUUAUAUAUUUUUUUUAUAUAAUAUACUUACUAUAAUACUUAUAUUAUAUUUAAUGAGUAUAACACCAAUCAAUUUAACUUUUUUUUUUCGUUAGGCCGUAGAUAAUGACGUAGCACAACAAGGAGGCGCACAAGGGAUAGUGUCAAAAUUAUCAGGACGAUUAAACGUAAGACACUUUAUAUAGUUUUUCAAUGUAAGUCGCAAAUACACUCAUGGACAAGAAGAUUCAUUAGAAGAGUGCUGUGAUGCAGUACAGUCAAACCUGGAUAAGAAAGUUGUAAACAACGUGGUGCACGAUACAGUACCAUCGGGUCCCCAGACAGUCGUCAAUGGACCGCAGUUCAAUAAUG
Cydia splendana is the source of this 717-nucleotide long non-coding RNA. RefSeq lists it as uncharacterized. The record is from RefSeq and is a predicted model, not a curated record. NCBI's taxonomy places the organism in Eukaryota, Metazoa, Arthropoda, Insecta, Lepidoptera, Tortricidae. The transcript has 7 exons.